Molecule: long non-coding RNA, 557 nt
Organism: Dalotia coriaria
Lineage: Eukaryota; Metazoa; Arthropoda; Insecta; Coleoptera; Staphylinidae
Exons: 2
Source: RefSeq, a predicted model, not a curated record
GUUGUCGUCGUCAUCGAGAAAUGUGGGCACACGCAACGCUCGACGGCCCUCCAUCGUCUAGGAAAUCGCGUUAGACGUGCGCGGUGUAUUAGGCAUGUUACUGGAGUGCGCUGACGAAAACGCUUGGAAUGUGGAUUGCACACGUGCACAGGAUGUUUUUUCAGCCAGGUUUUUAAUCUCAGACCGGAUUUGGUUAGUGACAACACUGUGAAUACAAACACAAACACAGCCUCAAAUAAAUAACGGAUUUUAAUUGUCACCUGACAAUCUGACGACAUGUAAAAAUCAGCUGUGAUCUGAAGGCGUCGAUGCGUGAAGUUUUAGCACUUUUAAUGGUUUUAUUUGUCGUAAAUGUUUUUUUAUUGAUUAUUUUACCACAGAUGAUGUAUAAUGUGAAUUUAUGUGCAUACAGUUUUAUGGGGAAUGAUUAUUUAAUAUACACGAUUGUAAAUGACGAAUUUUAUGGCAAUCAGUGUUGCAUAAAGCAUGAUAAUCAUUGUGAUGUAUUUUAUUGUUAACUAUUGUUUAAAUAAGCAAUAAAUAAAAUUAAGAGAGUA